RNAcentral lists this ribosomal RNA (492 nucleotides) under uncultured bacterium. Its description in RNAcentral is "partial 16S ribosomal RNA". It matches the Rfam family "Bacterial small subunit ribosomal RNA", at positions 29 to 507 of the family's 1533-position model. The record is from RNAcentral.
AGUGAACGCUGGCGGUAGGCCUAACACAUGCAAGUCGAACGGCAGCACAGUAAGAGCUUGCUCUUACGGGUGGCGAGUGGCGGACGGGUGAGGAAUACAUCGGAAUCUACUUUUUCGUGGGGGUUAACGUAGGGAAACUUACGCUAAUACCGCAUACGACCUACGGGUGAAAGGAGUGGAUCUUCGGACCUUGCGCGAUUGAAUGAGCCGAUGUCGGAUUAGCUAGUUGGCGGGGGAAAGGCCCAGCAAGGCGACGAUCCGUAGCUGGUCUGAGAGGAUGAUCAGCCACACUGGAACUGAGACACGGUCCAGACUCCUACGGGAGGCAGCAGUGGGGAAUAUUGGACAAUGGGCGCAAGCCUGAUCCAGCCAUACCGCGUGGGUGAAGAAGGCCUUCGGGUUGUAAAGCCCUUUUGUGGGGAAAGAAAAGCAGCAGGUUAAUACCCCGCUGUUCUGACGGUACCCAAAGAAUAAGCACCGGCUAACUUCGUG